This 91-nucleotide microRNA precursor is filed under the name Tursiops truncatus (common bottlenose dolphin). Lineage: Eukaryota; Metazoa; Chordata; Mammalia; Artiodactyla; Delphinidae. The record is from RNAcentral.
AUCUGUCAAUGGACAUUCCACCCUGAACACACCAGAUCUCAUGUGAUCUUAGAAGCUAAGCAGGGUCGGGCCUGGUUAGUAAUUGGAUGGG